CUGGUUGAUCCUGCCGGACCCGACUGCUAUCGGAGUGAGACUAAGCCAUGCGAGUCGUGCGCUCCGGGCUGGCGGAGCGCGGCGUACGGCUCAGUAACACGUGGUCAACCUACCCUGCGGACGGCUAUAACCCCGGGAAACUGGGGCUAAUAGCCGAUAGGGGAUAGGUGCUGGAAGGCCCUGCCCUCGAAAGGCCUAACCACCCAUGCCGUGGUUAGGCGCCGCAGGAUGGGGCUGCGCCCUAUCAGGUAGACGGUGGGGUAACGGCUCACCGUGCCUGUAACGGGUGCGGGCCCUGGGAGGGGGAGCCCGGAGAUGGGCACUGAGACAAGGGCCCAGGCCCUACGGGGCGCAGCAGGCGCGAAAACUCCGCUAUGCGCGAAAGCGCGACGGGGUCACUCCGAGUGCCGCCCGCUGAGGGCGGCUUUUGCCCAGUCCAAAAGGCCGGGCGAAUAAGGGGAGGGCAAGUUUGGUGUCAGCCGCCGCGGUAAUACCAACUCCCCGAGUGGUCGGGACGAUUAUUGGGCUUAAAGCGUCCGUAGCCGGCCCGGUGUGUCUCUGGUCAAAUCCGGCGUCUCAAGCGCCGGACCGCCGGAGAUACUACCGGGCUAGGGAGCGGGAGAGGCGGGCGGUAUUCCCUGGGUAGGGGUAAAAUCCUAAGAUCCAGGGAGGGCCAUCGGUGGCGAAGGCGGCCCGCUAGAACGCGUCCGACGGUGAGGGACGAAAGCUGGGGGAGCGAUCCGGAUUAGAUACCCGGGUAGUCCCAGCCGUAAACGAUGCAGGCUAGGUGUGUGGACGCCUUAGGGGCGUCCAUGUGCCGAAGGGAAACCGUUAAGCCUGCCGCCUGGGGAGUACGGCCGCAAGGCUGAAACCCUAGGAGGCCCUUAACUGAUAUAAUGAGGAAGGUUUCUCCUAGGGCAGCACACUUAAAGGAAUUGGCGGGGGAGCACCACAAGGGGUGGAGCCUGCGGUUCAAUUGGAGUCAACGCCGG
This 992-nucleotide ribosomal RNA is filed under the name uncultured archaeon 20b-7. RNAcentral describes it as "bacterial SSU rRNA". It matches the Rfam family "Archaeal small subunit ribosomal RNA", at positions 4 to 921 of the family's 1478-position model. The record is from RNAcentral.